NNNNNNNNNNCUGGCCUAUUGCAAGACCUCCUCCCUCUGUAGUGCUCCACUAUAUUUAGUGUAGGUUCCAAGCUCAACAGCAGAGCCAAUAUCUCCAGCCUGAUCAAGGAAUAUACUUUGACUCUUUGAGUAUGAGCACUCAAUGCCAAGGAAAACCAAAGCUUCAUAUGUAGCACGGUUCAAAUCAAGUCAAAUUCUCUAUCUCACCAUGUGUUUUUAUUAUUUUUUAAUCAUCACCAUCUAUAUAUAGCUAUCCAUGCAAAAUCAAAAAUUAGGCCAAAAACAAACCCCAAUCAGAUCAAUAACACACAACAAAUACAUCAAUUAGAUCAUGUUAGGAGCUAAAAAGAACAUACCCACAGCAAAUGGUACCAACAAAACCGUCAACAUGCAAACCAACUCAGAACCAAUCCGACGAACACAAAACUUCUGAUAACAGAAUGAACACACAGAGAGUCUGCCGGACCACCGCCAAUUAAAAACCCAGACAGGAGUUUACGAAUUGGUGAAAGUAUUGGCAAUUUGGCAUUAAAACAAAGAUAAAAGACGAUCAGGACAAUUGAAACAGAAACUCAAAAUCGAUCAUAUACAGAGCAAUGUCCUCACCUUGAUUAUUUGAUCAUAUACAAAACAAAGUCCAUACCUCGACGAUUAGAUUGAGAAGAGCAACACAGAAUUUCAUUACACGAAACCCAUCUCUCUCUCGGACUACAAAGAGCGACAGAGAAGAUGGUCAAUACUCAACACACUCGAACCCAUCGUGCAGAAGAACCCAUCAACGCCAGACGUCGACGAAAAACACAAACGGCAACAACCUACUCACAGAUGUCAAAUGCAGUUGUAUAAAACAACAGGUGUCAAGACAGAGCAGAUAAUGGUAAUUUUGUAAUUAAUUGCGAACCGAAGGCAUAUUCAUCUUUUUCCAGGCUGAAUAAACAGUUGUAAUGCCUUCCUGC
RNAcentral lists this long non-coding RNA (956 nucleotides) under Fragaria vesca (wild strawberry). RNAcentral describes it as "long non-coding RNA (FVES_LNC001321)". Lineage: Eukaryota; Viridiplantae; Streptophyta; Magnoliopsida; Rosales; Rosaceae. The record is from RNAcentral.